RNAcentral lists this ribosomal RNA (420 nucleotides) under uncultured bacterium. Its description in RNAcentral is "bacterial SSU rRNA". It matches the Rfam family "Bacterial small subunit ribosomal RNA", at positions 362 to 775 of the family's 1533-position model. The record is from RNAcentral.
UAUUGCACAAUGGGCGAAAGCCUGAUGCAGCGACGCCGCGUGGAGGAUGAAGGUCUUCGGAUUGUAAACUUCUGUUAAGUGGGAAGAAAAAAGCAUUCUUAAUACGAAUGCAGAUGACGGUACAACUAGAGAAAGCACCGGCUAACUUCGUGCCAGCAGCCGCGGUAAUACGAAGGGUGCAAGCGUUAUUCGGAUUGACUGGGCGUAAAGUGUGUGUAGACGGUGUAUUAAGUCUGUUGUUAAAUUCCCUGGCUCAACUAGGGGCAAGCAGUGGAUACUAAUACGCUAGAGGAUGGGAGAGAGAAGUGGAAUUCUCGGAGUAGCGGUAAAAUGCGUAGAUCUCGAGAGGAACACCAAUGGCGAAGGCAGCUUCUUGGUCCAUUUCUGACGUUGAGACACGAAAGCGUGGGGAGCAAACAG